Molecule: ribosomal RNA, 300 nt
Filed under: uncultured Alphaproteobacteria bacterium
Lineage: Bacteria; Pseudomonadati; Pseudomonadota; Alphaproteobacteria
Description: bacterial SSU rRNA
Rfam family: Bacterial small subunit ribosomal RNA
Source: RNAcentral
CGCGUGGGAACCUGCCUUUCUCUGCGGGACAACGGUUGGAAACGACCGCUAAUACCGCAUACGCUCUACGGAGGAAAGGUCAGCCGGAGAAAGAGGGGCCCGCGUUCGAUUAGUUAGUUGGUGGGGUAAAGGCCUACCAAGGCGACGAUCGAUAGCUGGUCUGAGAGGAUGAUCAGCCACACUGGGACUGAGACACGGCCCAGACUCCUACGGGAGGCAGCAGUGGGGAAUAUUGGACAAUGGGGGCAACCCUGAUCCAGCAAUGCCGCGUGUGUGAUGAAGGCCUUAGGGUUGUAAAGC